AUGUGGUUGGCUCUUAGGAAAAGUAUCCUUACAAAAGAUAAUCUGCUUCGUAGGGGGUGGAAAGGAGAUGAUAAAUGUCCUUUUUUUGGACGUAAAGAGAAUAUAAAUCAUCUUUUUCUAUCCUGUUCAGUUGCUAGACUAUUGUGGAACAUCUUAAAAUGUGCUUUCAAUCUGAGAGACAUUCCAGAAACCCUGGAAGCUAUCAUGAAAACCUGGAUAAAUACAUUUGGGAAAGAUGAAAAAAGUUUGGUCAUUAUAGGUGUUUCAGCGAUUUGCUCGAUUAUCUGGAAAUUAAGAAACAGUGUUAUUUUUUACAACAAUAGGGUAAAUGACCCCUGUGUUCUUGUUACUCUGUUUCUCAAAAAUUUAAAUGAUUGGAAUAUUUUCCAGACAAAUCCCGCAAGAAGUAAGAUGAUGGAGGCUAGAGUGAAGCAAGUAAGUAUGGUGGCGGAAGAAGUGUUCAAAGCAGCCUAUGGGUGGCGCCUGAAGACUGGGAGAAUCCAGGGGUGA
This 510-nucleotide ribosomal RNA is filed under the name Triticum aestivum (bread wheat). Its description in RNAcentral is "partial small subunit ribosomal RNA". The record is from RNAcentral. Lineage: Eukaryota; Viridiplantae; Streptophyta; Magnoliopsida; Poales; Poaceae.